AGAGUUUGAUCAUGGCUCAGGAUUAACGCUGACGGUGUGCUUAAUACAUGCAAGUCGAACGAGCGAUGAGAGAGUGGCAACACUUUCUCAAAGCUAGUGGCGAACGGGUGAGUAACGCGUGGGUAAUCUGCCUCAAAGAUUGGGAUAACUCCUUGAAAGAGGAGCUAAUACCAAAUGUGCUAUUUUUAUUGCAUGAUUUUAAUAGUAAAGGUAGCCGCAAGGCUUCUGUUUUGAGAUGAGCCCGCGUCCUAUUAGCUUGUUGGUAGGGUAAAGGCCUACCAAGGCUAUGAUGGGUAGCCGGUCUGAGAGGAUGUCCGGUCACACUGGGACUGAGAUACGGCCCAGACUCCUACGGGAGGCAGCAGUAGGGAAUAUUGCGCAAUGGGCGAAAGCCUGACGCAGCGACACCGUGUGAAGGAUGAAGAUCUUCGGAUUGUAAACUUCUGUCAAUUGGGGACGAAGGUACUGGUGUUAAUAGCUCCCAGUAUUGACGGUACCCAAUAAGGAAGUCUCGGCUUACUCCGUGCCAGCAGCCGCGGUAAGACGGGGGAGGCAAGCGUUGUCCGGAAUUAUUGGGCGUAAAGAGCGCGUAGGUGGCUUAUCAAGUCAUUUGUGAAAACUUUAGGCUUAACUUAAAGAUUGCAAGUGAUACUGGUAAACUUGAGCACAGUAGAGGAAAGUGGAAUUCCUGGUGUAGCGGUGAAAUGCGCAGAUAUCAGGAAGAACACCGGUGGCGAAGGCGGCUUUCUGGGCUGUUGCUGACACUGAGGCGCGAAAGCUAGGGGAGCGAACAGGAUUAGAUACCCUGGUAGUCCUAGCUGUAAACGAUGGACACUAGGUGUGGGAGGUUAUCGACGCUUUCUGUGCCGGAGUUAACGCAUUAAGUGUCCCGCCUGGGGAGUACGGCCGCAAGGCUAAAACUCAAAGGAAUUGACGGGGACCCGCACAAGCGGCGGAGCAUGUGGCUUAAUUCGACGCAACGCGAAGAACCUUACCAAGGCUUGACAUCAUAUUGAAGGAUAUAGAAAUAUAUCUGCCCGUAAGGGCAGUAUGACAGGUGGUGCAUGGUUGUCGUC
RNAcentral lists this ribosomal RNA (1076 nucleotides) under uncultured bacterium. RNAcentral's name for it is "bacterial SSU rRNA". It matches the Rfam family "Bacterial small subunit ribosomal RNA", at positions 8 to 1056 of the family's 1533-position model. The record is from RNAcentral.